Molecule: ribosomal RNA, 253 nt
Filed under: uncultured bacterium
Lineage: Bacteria
Description: partial 16S ribosomal RNA
Rfam family: Bacterial small subunit ribosomal RNA
Source: RNAcentral
UACAGAGGAUGCAAGCGUUAUCCGGAAUGAUUGGGCGUAAAGCGUCUGUAGGUGGCUUUUUAAGUCCGCCGUCAAAUCCCAGGGCUCAACUCUGGACAGGCGGUGGAAACUACCAAGCUGGAGUACGGUAGGGGCAGAGGGAAUUUCCGGUGGAGCGGUGAAAUGCGUAGAGAUCGGGAGGAACACCAGAGGCGAAGGCGGCGACCUGGACAGGUACUGACACUCAACUACGAAAGCGUGGGGAGCAAACAGG